UGGGGAAUCUUGCGCAAUGGGCGAAAGCCUGACGCAGCAACGCCGCGUGGGGGAUGAAGGCUCUCGGGUCGUAAACCCCUUUCAGUCGUGACGAUGAUGACGGUAGCGACAGAAGAAGCCCCGGCUAACUCCGUGCCAGCAGCCGCGGUAAUACGGAGGGGGCAAGCGUUGUUCGGAUUUACUGGGCGUAAAGGGCGCGUAGGCGGGGUAUCAAGUUAGGGGUGAAAGCCCGGGGCUCAACCUCGGAACUGCCUUUAAAACUGAUACUCUAGAGUCCGGAAGAGGGUCGCGGAAUUCCCAGUGUAGAGGUGAAAUUCGUAGAUAUUGGGAAGAACACCGGUGGCGAAGGCGGCGACCUGGUCCGGUACUGACGCUGAGGCGCGAAAGCGUGGGGAGCAAACAGGAUUAGAUACCCCCGUAGUCC
RNAcentral lists this ribosomal RNA (424 nucleotides) under uncultured prokaryote. RNAcentral describes it as "bacterial SSU rRNA". It matches the Rfam family "Bacterial small subunit ribosomal RNA", at positions 355 to 796 of the family's 1533-position model. The record is from RNAcentral.